RNAcentral lists this ribosomal RNA (698 nucleotides) under Chryseobacterium sp. FG1-4. RNAcentral describes it as "bacterial SSU rRNA". It matches the Rfam family "Bacterial small subunit ribosomal RNA", at positions 54 to 752 of the family's 1533-position model. The record is from RNAcentral. Lineage: Bacteria; Pseudomonadati; Bacteroidota; Flavobacteriia; Flavobacteriales; Weeksellaceae.
CAUGCAAGCCGAGCGGUAUUUCUUCUUCGGAAGAGAGAGAGCGGCGUACGGGUGCGUAACACGUGUGCAACCUGCCUUUAUCUGGGGAAUAGCCUUCCGAAAGGAAGAUUAAUACCCCAUAAUAUAUUGAAUGGCAUCAUUUAAUAUUGAAAACUCCGGUGGAUAAAGAUGGGCACGCGCAAGAUUAGAUAGUUGGUGAGGUAACGGCUCACCAAGUCUAUGAUCUUUAGGGGUCCUGAGAGGGAGAUCCCCCACACUGGUACUGAGACACGGACCAGACUCCUACGGGAGGCAGCAGUGAGGAAUAUUGGACAAUGGGUGAAAGCCUGAUCCAGCCAUCCCGCGUGAAGGAUGACGGUCCUAUGGAUUGUAAACUUCUUUUGUACAGGGAUAAACCUUCCUACGUGUAGGAAGCUGAAGGUACUGUACGAAUAAGCACCGGCUAACUCCGUGCCAGCAGCCGCGGUAAUACGGAGGGUGCAAGCGUUAUCCGGAUUUAUUGGGUUUAAAGGGUCCGUAGGCGGGCCGAUCAGUCAGUGGUGAAAUCUCAUAGCUCAACUAUGAAACUGCCGUUGAUACUGUCGGUCUUGAGUAAAUUUGAAGUGGCUGGAAUAAGUAGUGUAGCGGUGAAAUGCAUAGAUAUUACUUAGAACACCAAUUGCGAAGGCAGGUCACUAAGAUUUAACUGACGCUGAGGG